Pecten maximus is the source of this 132-nucleotide long non-coding RNA. RefSeq lists it as uncharacterized. Lineage: Eukaryota; Metazoa; Mollusca; Bivalvia; Pectinida; Pectinidae. The record is from RefSeq and is a predicted model, not a curated record. The transcript is spliced from 3 exons.
AAACAGUACUAAACACCUACAUGUUUACAGGUAAACAGUACUAAACACCUACAUGUUUACAGGUAAACAGUACUAAACACCUACAUGUUUACAGGUAAACAGUACUAAACACCUACAUGUUUACAGGUAAAC